GAACGCACAUUGCGCCCCUUGGUAUUCCGGGGGGCAUGCCUGUUCGAGCGUCAUUAUAACCCUCAAGCCUAGCUUGGUGUUGGAGCAUGCUAUCUAGCAGCUCUUAAAAUCAGUGGCAGUGCCCUUCGGCUCUAAGCGUAGUAACUUCUCUCGCUAUGGAAACCGGAUGGUACGCGCCAAAACCCCCAACUUUCUAUGGUUGACCUCGGAUCAGGUAGGGAUACCCGCUGAACUUAAG
Molecule: unclassified non-coding RNA, 238 nt
Filed under: Cistella albidolutea
Lineage: Eukaryota; Fungi; Ascomycota; Leotiomycetes; Helotiales
Description: sequence contains 5.8S rRNA gene
Rfam family: 5.8S ribosomal RNA (bases 1-53)
Source: RNAcentral